UACGGGGGGGGCAAGCGUUGUUCGGAAUUACUGGGCGUAAAGAGCUCGUAGGCGGUUUGUCGCGUCUGCUGUGAAAACUGGAGGCUCAACCUCCAGCCUGCAGUGGGUACGGGCAGACUAGAGUGCGGUAGGGGAGAUUGGAAUUCCUGGUGUAGCGGUGGAAUGCGCAGAUAUCAGGAGGAACACCGGUGGCGAAGGCGGAUCUCUGGGCCUUACCUGACGCUGAGGCGCGAAAGCUAGGGGAGCGAACAGG
This 253-nucleotide ribosomal RNA is filed under the name uncultured bacterium. RNAcentral's name for it is "partial 16S ribosomal RNA". It matches the Rfam family "Bacterial small subunit ribosomal RNA", at positions 524 to 776 of the family's 1533-position model. The record is from RNAcentral.